This 253-nucleotide ribosomal RNA is filed under the name uncultured bacterium. Its description in RNAcentral is "partial 16S ribosomal RNA". It matches the Rfam family "Bacterial small subunit ribosomal RNA", at positions 524 to 776 of the family's 1533-position model. The record is from RNAcentral.
AACGUAGGUGGCAAGCGUUAUCCGGAAUUACUGGGCGUAAAGGGUGUGCAGGCGGGGAAGCAAGUGGUGUAUGAAAUCUCCCAGCUUAACUGGGAUAGGUUAUGCCAUACUGCUUUUCUAGAGGACGAGAGAGGGGGGUGGAAUUCCGGGUGUAGUGGUGAAAUGCGUAGAGAUCCGGAGGAACCCCAGAGGCGAAGGCGGCCCCCUGGCUCGUACCUGACGCUCAGCCACGAAAGCAUGGGGAGCGAACGGG